RNAcentral lists this small RNA (276 nucleotides) under Enterobacter cloacae. Its description in RNAcentral is "5' ureB small RNA". It matches the Rfam family "5' ureB small RNA". Lineage: Bacteria; Pseudomonadati; Pseudomonadota; Gammaproteobacteria; Enterobacterales; Enterobacteriaceae. The record is from RNAcentral.
GGCCUGCUGCGGGCAGAUCCAGUGGAUGUGAGUGUCGAUCCCGCCAGCGGUGACGAUCUUCCCUUCGGCGGCGAUCGCUUCCGUGGCGGCACCGAUCGGGAUCGUCACCCCGGGCUGAAUGUCCGGGUUACCGGCUUUGCCAACGGCAAAGAUCCGCCCGUUCUUCACGCCGAUAUCCGCUUUCACGAUCCCCCAGUGAUCGACAAUCAACGCGUUAGUCAGCACCAGAUCCACGCAGUCAUCCGCGGUCAUCUGCCCCUGGCCCAUACCGUCGCG